AAAAAACCUUAUAUUUAAGGACAAAUUUUGAAUGCUAGAAUGUCCUAUAUUACGGGACGGAGGGAGUAUAUAGCAACAGUGGGGGGCUUCCCUUGCUGUAUUUAAGGCUAAAAAAAAGGAACUUAGAAUCAUAGAAUGCCUUGAUCUCAAUGGCAUUGGAAGGCAUGACAUCUGUUAGAGCACCGAUCCGACAGUGGAAGGCACACAGGUUUUGGGCAGCAAUGAGGCAGCUUUUCCUCUCUAUAUAGCUGAUUACAUAGCUAUCUAAGGCAAUAAGCCAAUCACUAAACUAGGCAAUAGCCUAAUAAGGCAUGCUCGUGAUUGGGGGUUGCCAUCCCAACUCCCUGGGCCAUGCCGUGUACUAGAGCAAAAUAGGAAGGUACAAUAGGAAAGUACAGCUCACGACUUACUGCUAACAAUCUCCUCCUAAGACGUGAGUACCUACUCUAUAUUCUACAUGCCUAUCAUGCUUCGAAGCUCUUGAAACCGGAUGCGACCAAGUGCUUUUGUGAGAAUGUCACCUAGCUGCAACUCUGUUCCAACGAACUCAACAUGAAUCAGCUUUCUGUCGCGGCAUUCCCGGAUGAAGUGGAACUUUACAUCGAUGUGCUUGCUCCGGUCAUGAUGAACAAGAUUUUUCAUCAAAGCGAUGGCAGACUUGUUGUCCACCAGGAGUCUUGGUGCGAGGACGGCUCCUCCGACGAGCUCAGCUAGCAAACGUGCCAACCAAACCGCCUCGCACGCAGCAGCAGCAGCAAUGUACUCUGCUUUGCAUGAGGACAGAGCAACUACCUUCUGCUUCGCCGAUUGCCAAGCAACCGCCCCCCUGCAAGGAAGAAGAUGAGCCCACUUGUGCUCUUCCUGUCAUUCACGUUGCCGGCCAGAUCGCUGUCUGAAUAUCCCAGCAGCUCCGGCGCACCACAGUUCUUCUUUCCGGGGUAGUAAUGUAGUCCCUAGUGCAAUGUUCCUCCCACGUACCGGAGCACACGCUUUAUAGCAGUGAGGUGUUCUUGGCGUGGCGCCUCCAUGAAUCUGCUCAAGUACCCCACAGGAUAAGCCAGGUCCGGCCGGGAAUUGCACAAGUACCUGAGACUCCCAAUUGCGCUCAGGGCAGGAGAUGACGCCGAGGUCGCACUCGGGGCUGGGGAAGAGGCCGCGGGCGCAGCAGACGCAGUCUGUGAUCACGUCACCGGUGCUGGAGUCGGCUCUGUGGCGUGUCGCGUCCGCACCUCGUGGUCUUCUUCGAUGGAGAAGGGCAGACGGUCGUUCGCGCCCAGAUUUUCUUCCCAGUUCCACCGCGCAUCUUCAUCGAAGACGGCAUCGUGAAAGACGUAGACGCACGCGGCCUCAGGAUCAAAGAACCUGUACGCCUUGGUCCCGUCCUGUUAGCCGAUGAAGACGACUUUGGUGCCUCUGUCGUCGAGUUUGGCGAGGCGUGGGCACACUUGCUUGAUGUAGGCGACACACCCAAACACUUUGAGGAAGUGUACAGGAGGUUUCUUCCCGUACCAUGCCUGGUACGGGGUCUUCCCAUCGAGCACAACGGUGGGUGCCCUAUUGUUGUUGAGCAGGAACACAGCAGUAUGCACUGCCUCCCCCCAGAAGCACCCUAGUACACCGCGAGCUCGAAGGAUGCUCCUCGCCAUCGCCACCACGGUCUGGUUUCAACACUCUACAACGCCAUUCUGCUGCGGCGUAUAGGGAGCCGAAUGGUGGCGCUGAAUCCCCUCUCCUGCAUAAUACUCACCAAAUUCGACUGAGGCGAACUCACCGUCAUUGUCAGUCCGGAGUACCUUCAGUUUCUUGCCCGUCUCGCGCUCAACACGCGCCUGAAACGCCUGGAUGGCUGCUGGGGCAUCCGCCUUGGAACGCAGGAGGGUGAGCCACAUGAAGCGGCUCAUGUCGUCGACGAGUAGGAGGAAGUAGACGUUCCCAGCCAGCGUUGCCGGCGUGAUGGGGCCGCAGAGAUCUCCAUGGACCAGUUCUAGCUCCUCCUGAGCCCUGAAGUUUGCGGCCUUGGGGAACGACGUUCGCUUCUGCUUUGCCAGGACGCAGUCCUCACAGACCUGCUCGACAUGGUCUAUGGUGGGCAGUCCACGCACCAUGUCGGCGCGUCCCAGCUUGCGCAGCGCGUUGAAGUUGAGGUGACCGUAGCGUUCGUGCCAUCGCCACGCCAUGUCGCCAACCCGUGCGGUGAAACACACAGGGGCAGUCACCUUCAUGUUGAGGAAGUACAGUCGACUUGGCGAACGAUGCACCUUGGCCAGCAGCUGCCAGUCUAGGUCGAAGAGGCGGAGUAUGCCCGACUUGAUGUCAACCUUGAACCUAGUCUCGUCCAUCUGACUGAGACUGAUGAUGUUGGUGGUGAGGCGAGGGAUGUAGUAGACGCCGUCCAGCUAACGAUGUUCACUGGUCCUGCAGACGAACAGUACCGUCCCCUUGCCGUGGAUGUUCACCACCGAGCCAUCUCCGAACUUAACUGUUCCGGAGAUGCUGGUGUCGAGCUCGGCGAAGACAUUCCGGGCGCCCGUCAUGUGGUUCGUCGCACCAGUGUCGAGCACCCAUCGAUGGGGUUGAGUGGCCUCCUCCUGCUCCUCACUGAGGUGAAGGAGGACCUUGGGUUCAGUGAGGUGAACCCGUGUCUUCGACUCCGGGGCGGCUGGCGCCAAUGGUGGCCUGCGAGGACAGCACGGCACGGGCGACGCGAUUACCUCUGGAUCCGCCGCGAUGUACAUCAGCGCGUGCUCCUCUUCCCCGGCUUGUGAGACGUGCGCCGCACCCUUCUUCUUGCUGCGGCACUCAUUGGUCUAGUGACCAGUUUUGCCGUAGGACUGGCAGUGGUAGCCGGGGGGCGACUUCUUGCCGCCAGGUUUGGCCGCCUGCGCGCUCUGGACAUCGCGGCCAUCACGCGACGAAGAGCCUGCGCCGCCGCGGCCGCAUCCGCGCCCACGCUGUCUGCCGCGGGCACCGGAUCCCGAUCCGCCGGAGCUCUCCUGCUCACGGCGCGACUUGUGGCGUGCCUCCCAAUCCUCUUCACAAAGCAUCGGGCGGCCCAGCGAGUCAGUGACUUCCUCCGGCUUGAGUCGCUCCUCGAACACCCUCAGCCGCCCGAUCACCUCCUCGAUGGAGACCCUGUUCAGGUCGAGAAACAUCUCGAGAGAGACGGCGGCCUGCGUGAGCUUCUCUGGAACAACCUGCAUAAGUUUUUUGACUACCUCUGCAUCCUGAAUGUUGUCGCCGAGGGAGCGCAGGUUGGCAGCGAGUGUGGAGAUACAGACAUCGAAGUCGCUGACGGUUUCCCCCUCCUUGAAGGAGAGAGAGCUGAACUCCCGACGCAGCUGCUGCGCGCUGGCGUCGCGCGCGCUCUUCGCCGAUCCGCAGAUGCUUGACCGCAUCUCAGGCCUGCUUCACCGUGUCCUUCCUGGCCAGCGUGUUCCAGAGCUCGGACGACACCGAGCGUAGUAGACUGGCCAUCGCCUGGCGGUCGUCAUGAUACUCGUCGUCGUCAGCGUCGUCGGAGAGGCCGUCCUGGACGACGUCCCAUACUCGCAGCGUCUGGAAGUUUACUUCCAUGACCAAUGCCCACUCCGGGUAGUUCGUCCGGGUUAGCAUCGGCCAUGCAACAUGUGCAGACGAGCGCUUGACGAUUCGCUCGACAACUCUGGAGCCAGAGCGACGACGACUGUCGGAGCGCCCACGGCAACGUCGCGGCGAGUGCGACGGAUGGACCUUGUUCUCGAUGUUGCUGUCUUCGGGCUUCUCGGUCUUUGCCGGAGACUUAGAAGACAUGGCUAACUACGAGAUCAGGCUCUGGUACCAAAUGUUAGAGCACUGAUCUGACAGUGGAAGGCACACAGGUUUUGGGCUGCAAUGAGGCAGCUUUUCCUCUGAUUAUAGUUCACUAUAUAUAGCUGAUUACAUAGCUAUCUAAGGCAAUAAGCCAAUCACUAAACUAGGCAACAGUAAACUAGGCAAUAGUAAACUAGGCAAUAGCCUAAUAAGGCAUGCUCGUGAUUGAGGGUUGUCAUCCCAACUCCCUGGGCCAUGCCGUGUACUAGAGCAGAAUAGGAAGGUACAAAAUAGGAAAGUACAGCUCACGGCUUACUGCUAACAACAUCCAACCU
Molecule: long non-coding RNA, 4124 nt
Filed under: Sorghum bicolor (sorghum)
Lineage: Eukaryota; Viridiplantae; Streptophyta; Magnoliopsida; Poales; Poaceae
Description: long non-coding RNA (SBIC_LNC016613)
Source: RNAcentral